AACGAACGCUGGCGGCAUGCCUAACACAUGCAAGUCGAACGAGACCUUCGGGUCUAGUGGCGCACGGGUGCGUAACGCGUGGGAAUCUGCCCUUGGGCUCGAAAUAACAGUUGGAAACGACUGCUAAUACCGGAUGAUGUCUUCGGACCAAAGAUUUAUCGCCCAGGGAUGAGCCCGCGUAGGAUUAGCUUGUUGGUGAGGUAAAGGCUCACCAAGGCGACGAUCCUUAGCUGGUCUGAGAGGAUGAUCAGCCACACUGGGACUGAGACACGGCCCAGACUCCUACGGGAGGCAGCAGUGGGGAAUAUUGGACAAUGGGCGAAAGCCUGAUCCAGCAAUGCCGCGUGAGUGAUGAAGGCCUUAGGGUUGUAAAGCUCUUUUACCCGGGAAGAUAAUGACUGUACCGGGAGAAUAGCCCCGGCUAACCUCCGUGCCAGCAGCCGCUGUAAU
This 450-nucleotide ribosomal RNA is filed under the name uncultured bacterium. RNAcentral's name for it is "bacterial SSU rRNA". It matches the Rfam family "Bacterial small subunit ribosomal RNA", at positions 29 to 524 of the family's 1533-position model. The record is from RNAcentral.